This 459-nucleotide ribosomal RNA is filed under the name uncultured bacterium. RNAcentral describes it as "partial 16S ribosomal RNA". It matches the Rfam family "Bacterial small subunit ribosomal RNA", at positions 338 to 795 of the family's 1533-position model. The record is from RNAcentral.
CCUACGGGAGGCAGCAGUGAGGAAUAUUGGUCAAUGGCCGGAAGGCUGAACCAGCCAAGCCGCGUGAAGGACGAAGGUGUCAAGCAUUGUAACCUUCUUUUGUCAAGGGACAAAAUCAGGCUCGAGAGCCUGACCGAGGGUACUUGAAGAAAAAGCAUCGGCUAACUCGGUGCCCGCCGCCGCGGUAAUACGGAGGAUGCGAGGGUUCUCCGGUUUUUUGGGGUUAAAGGGGUGGGUAGGCGGACGGUUAAGUCAGCGGGAAAAGCCUGGGGCUCAACCCCGGCGAGCCGUUGAUACUGGCUGGCUUGAGAGGUCGAGGGGUAUGCGGAAUGCGCAGUGUAGCGGUGAAAUGCGUAGAUAUUGCGCAGAACUCCGAUGGCGAAGGCAGGAUACCGGCGGCGAUCUGACGCUGAGGCACGAAAGCGUGGGUAUCGAACAGGAUUAGAUACCCUUGUAGUC